UACGUAAGGGGCAAGCGUUAUCCGGAUUUACUGGGUGUAAAGGGAGCGUAGACGGCAGAGCAAGUCUGAAGUGAAAGCCCGCGGCCCAACUGCGGGACUGCUUUGGAAACUGCCCGGCUAGAGUGCUGGAGAGGUAAGCGGAAUUCCUAGUGUAGCGGUGAAAUGCGUAGAUAUUAGGAGGAACACCAGUGGCGAAGGCGGCUUACUGGACAGUAACUGACGUUGAGGCUCGAAAGCGUGGGGAGCAAACAGG
This 253-nucleotide ribosomal RNA is filed under the name uncultured bacterium. Its description in RNAcentral is "partial 16S ribosomal RNA". It matches the Rfam family "Bacterial small subunit ribosomal RNA", at positions 524 to 776 of the family's 1533-position model. The record is from RNAcentral.